RNAcentral lists this unclassified non-coding RNA (4277 nucleotides) under Acyrthosiphon pisum (pea aphid). RNAcentral describes it as "vesicular glutamate transporter 2.1-like, transcript variant X1". The record is from RNAcentral. Lineage: Eukaryota; Metazoa; Arthropoda; Insecta; Hemiptera; Aphididae.
CUUAUUUAACGAUUUAUUUUGCACAAAAUCCGCCCUGUAGACUAAUUAUGUUUGUGUUUUCACUUUCACAGACUGGUUACAUCGGCGCUUUGCCUCAUCUGCUGAUGACCAUAGUGGUGCCCCUUGGAGGUCUGCUGGCCGAUCACAUACGGAAAAACGGUAUCCUGUCCACGACUAGCGUCAGGAAGAUUUUCAACUGCGGAGGUUUUGGCAUGGAAGCCACGUUUUUCCUCGUGUUGGCCAACGCCCGCACGCCGCUCAUGGCCACGAUCGCCUUGACCUGUGGCGUGGCGUUCAGCGGUUUCGCCAUUUCCGGGUUCAACGUUAACCAUUUGGACAUUGCGCCGAGAUACGCUAGUAUACUGAUGGGCAUAUCGAACGGAAUUGGUACGAUAGCAGGGCUUCUGUGUCCGGUCGCGAUCAACAUCAUCAUCAGGCACAAGACGAGGCAGAGCUGGAGCGAGGUAUUCAUACUGGCCGCCGUCAUUCACUACAUUGGGGUGGUGUUCUACGCAAUAUUCGCUUCUGGAGAAUUGCAACCGUGGGCCGAGCCCAAGGUCGAAGAAGAUCAACAAAUGGAUGAGGUGAGCGUCGACAAGAAGAGUAAGCUUACGUCGUACGGUUCGGUCGAACAGUCGUCGGGCAAAGGGUUCGUGAACGCUGGCCUCAACACCAACUGCACCAUCGGCGAGACCGAACCGGCGCCGCCGACCGACAACCCGACAAAUCCGUUCCUGGCCAAGCCCACCGCAGCCACCACCAAUCCGUUCGCUACCUCCGAGUGAUAAUCUGAUUAUUAAUGAUAAAUUAUUGAUGUAACGGAUAAUUCGAGUUCGGAUCGCGCUGUCGUCACGUCGAUUAUUACUACACGGAUUAUAAUAUUAUGAUAUAAUGAUAAUAAUAAAAAUUAUUAUUAUUGUUACAUUGUAAAGGUCGCAGGAGGUACUUCGCGAGCAAUAAUACCGUUAAUUGCGUAGUCUCGAUUGCACGUAGUUGUUUCGUAGGUAUUAAAAUAAUAAUUUUUAGGUAGAUAAUAUUACUAAAAUCGAUUUUCUCUCAAUUAUACAACUAUUAUAUAGUAAUAAUUAUAAUAACAUAAUAAUAGUAUUAUCGUACACACUCGUCGUCUCAUCUAUAUAUUGAAUGAUACUAUUAUUAUAAUAUAAUAGAACCUAGAACAUGAAUUUCGCGUUUAUCGAUACAAUGUAGCGUAAAUCGUAAUAAAUUUGCAUUUAUCGAUUUUUCCAAAUUAAUAAUUAUUAUCUUAAUAUUAUAAUAUACUGUCAAUUUGUUUUUAUACAAUUCCGAAUAAUAUAGAUUCCGUCUUGUGACGGAUGUAAAAUAUAAUAUAAUAUUGUUAUUUAUUAUAAUGUUUAUACAGCUUGGUCGGCUCGAAAGUGCUCGGCUUCAACGUUAUAAUAAUGUGUAAUAUUAUAAUAUAUUUUAUAGAUAUUUAUUACUUCACCUUAAUAUAUAGGUAGGUAAUAUCGUAUCUGAACUUAUGGUACUUACGUAUUACCCGGUACUUGGUUUCACACUGUUUUUAAACUCUUAAAUAUUAAUAUCAAGAAUACUCGAAUAAAAUUUAAUAAUCAUAAUUAUGAACUUAAAAUAUAGUACAAUAUUAUUUCAGUUGCACAAAAAAUAGUAAAAAAGUUUGUUUUGAAAAAACAUAACUAUAUUCGGUACAAUUAAAACACUUAGUUGAUAGUAUCUUAAGUUAUUUAUGUGUUUCUUUAUUAAGAAAGUUGUGUGUUGGAGGGACAACAAUAAUAUUGCAGUAUCUAUAUCUUUUGAAAUUGAAUCAAAUAAAUUGUUCAAAUCAGCGGGAUUAUGACGUUACACGAAGUGUAAACUUUAAUUAUAGGUCUAUAAAAUUGUCGACCCUGUGCCAAUUAACGUUUUAUUAGUAAAAAAUGUAUUUACACACUAUUAUGUCAUCGUCUAUAGUCUGUUGUGUGUUGUUUAUUUAAUCACGAAUUGAGCUAGGAUGAAAUACUAUUGUAUCCUGGUUUUCGAGUGAAACCUUUCAUGUUCUGAAAAUGUUACCAGCAGUGUAGAAUUUCAUGACCAUUUGACCUCUGUAACUGCAAGUUGAUAUAGUUAAAUAUUUUUCAACUUAACGGUAAUACCUAACAAACUACAUGGAAUGAUAUUCAUAAGAUAAGCACAGCUAGUUCAACCAAUUAAAACACUGGGAUUUUAACACGUCAUGACAGAGUGUAAAUAGACGCUUUAAAUGUUUUGUACGAUUUUGUUAAUGGUACACCGAGUGAUCCAUUUAACGUAAGACACUCGUUGUUUUAAUAACUAUUAACAAUAUUUUAACAUAAUUUUAGUUCGUUAAAAAAACAAAAUUUUAUUGAAUAAUUAUAUUUUUUAUUAUUUUUCAUCGUAAUUAUUUUUUAACAACAUAUAUAAAUGACAACACGCCAUUUUAACUCCUUAUUUCAAAGCAGAAUAUUUUUUGAAGUACUUUGAUAAUUAAAAAUAAAAUUUUGGACAAGCAAUUUAUGAGUCAGUAUUUACAGUUUGGAUAAACGGAGCGGAGUGGCACAGGGGUUCCCAGCAAAAUUUAGUCGUUCAAAAAAGUACCAAACUACGGUCUGUGGACAAUAUGUAAGUACCAUAAAUUACGAUGGUGCGAUGAUCGCAUAAUAAUGUAUUCUGUCAAUUUCUUUUUAUACAAUGUAAUAAUAGAUUAUAUUCCUUAACGGAUGUUAAAUAAUUAUAAAAUUAUGUGUUAAUGUUUUAUAAGCUUCGUCGGCUCAAAUGCGUUCGGCCGCGUUUUAUAUAAUAAUAAUAUAGGUAGGUACUAUAUAUACGGAUUAGGUUAUAGCGGCUUAGGUUAGGUUAGACUUUUCCGAACGAUUGUUAUAUUAUUAUGAUGUACGUUUUUUUUCGUCUAACACAAAAUAUUAUAUUGUAUUAAGGUAAUGCUUAUUCUCGGUCAGAAUCGAACGCGUGUUGAAAUGUGAUUCGAUAAUGGUCAUAUUAUAAUAAUAAUAUGUAUAAUACCAUCACGGCGCAUACGCAUAAUAUGCGUUGAAAAUAAGUAGUUAUAUUAUUAUAUCGAAUCGUCAUCUGCGAUUUUUUAGUUGGGAUUCUUUGCCGAAACUCGUCGUGUGAUUCGUAAUAAAUAUAUAGGUGUAUUAUGUAUGCAUAAUACUAAGUAUAAAACGGUUGUAUGGGAACUGAUGACGUUGCUGAGAUGAUAAUAUAAUAAUUUAACGUCUCUCGUCCGACGCUCACCCAUAUUAUGGCCAGCGUGGUUUAGAGUAAGACGUGUUAUGUCUGCUAAAAAGCGCGUAAAUUAUUAGACGAUUUAAAUACCUGCAAAAUAUGGAAAAUAUGGUGUAUAAUAUAAUAUUAUAAUAUAGUCACUAUAUUAUGUAGUUAUAUGUUAGUAUGUCCAUCGCAUAUUUCGUAUGCGAUGAAUGCCUUUUCGAAAUUCGUCCUACUGUGAUACAAUAUAACAUAAUAGUAUUUUAUUUUAUGCACGCCUGUAACUGGGCCGGCCGGGCUAUAUAUUUUCGUUGUUCCGAUACAACCAAAAUGUUGGACUUAAAAUACAACGAUAAUAUUAUUAUAAUAGUACCUAUGUGUACGACGAAUAACAGUAAAAAUAUUAUGAUAUUGUAUUGCUCCCCAAACGACUCGACGACCCGCCGUGUCGGGAUGAAAAUCAAACGUCGCAACAAGUUGAUUUUUUUCUAGUGGUUGUAUUAAACGUUUUUAUUUACGCAUAAUAUAACUCCUUCCAGUUUUUUCUGCUAGUUCGAUUUGAAAUCGAGUAAACGAUAAGAUACUUUUGAGAAGUUUUUUGAAUAAUGUCAAUUAAAACACAUAAAUAUGAAAUAUGGUUCUGUUGAUUUCUUCGUCGGAUAUUAACUAAUGUUUUCUUUUGUAAACAAAAUAACUAAUAUGUCUUAACGUAGACGAGUAUACUAAAACAAAACAAAAAACUGUUUAGGUCGCGCACACCAAUAUACCAUAACAAUAAUUCUUCAGCUUUCGCGUUUUCUAUCGGUGAAAUAAGAAAACGAUCACACGAACUUACACCAUUAUAAGACGUAUAUAUUAAUAUUGUUCAUCGUCAUAAUAUGAAUUCUACUCGCUUUGAAUACUCAACGCGCUUCAAUAAAAAUUCAAACCAAUGAUAUAGUUUACUCAAUGUUCGAACUCAAGUAGAACCAAAAUCUCGAAGAAAACAGUUUGGUCAUGUAUAGCAAGUGUAAAAAUAUAUGAAAGUAGAAUGUGCUGCGCGGACAUCGUUU